RNAcentral lists this ribosomal RNA (460 nucleotides) under uncultured bacterium. RNAcentral describes it as "partial 16S ribosomal RNA". It matches the Rfam family "Bacterial small subunit ribosomal RNA", at positions 338 to 795 of the family's 1533-position model. The record is from RNAcentral.
CCUACGGGGGGCAGCAGUGAGGAAUAUUGGUCAAUGGGCGGAAGCCUGAACCAGCCAAGUCGCGUGAGGGAAUAAGGCCCUACGGGUCGUAAACCUCUUUUGCCGGGGAGCAAGGGCCGGGACGCGUCCCGGCCCGGAGAGUACCCGGAGAAAAAGCAUCGGCUAACUCCGUGCCAGCAGCCGCGGUAAUACGGAGGAUGUGAGCGUUAUCCGGAUUUAUUGGGUUGUAAGGGUGCGUAGGCGGGCUUUUAAGUCAGCGGUGAAAAUUCGGGGCUCAACCCCGUCCGGCCGGUGAACAUGGGGGCCGUGAGUGGGCGAGAAGAAGGCGGAAUGCGUGGUGUAGCGGUGAAAUGCAUAGAUAUCACGCAGAACCCCGAUUGCGAAGGCAGCCUUCCGGCGCCCUACUGACGCUGAGGCACGAAAGCGUGGGUAUCGAACAGGAUUAGAUACCCGAGUAGUC